This 502-nucleotide long non-coding RNA is filed under the name Capra hircus (goat). RNAcentral's name for it is "lncRNA (ENSCHIG00000007259.1)". Lineage: Eukaryota; Metazoa; Chordata; Mammalia; Artiodactyla; Bovidae. The record is from RNAcentral.
GGCCAAGGCCGUCCGGGGCCUUCCGACGCCCUCACCUCCACUGGGCCCUCGGGGCUCUCUUCCUGAAACGGCGCCCACCCGGCUCCUGCCCAGGGGCGCCCGGGUACUCCUCUGGCUCCCGCUUCGCCUGGCGGACCUCUGUUUCUUCUUUUCCUCCUUGUUCGCCCACAGAUGAAUGUAUUUUAAAUCUGGUGAAGGAAAACCAAUCUUAAGUCCUGGGCACUUCAGAACAAGUAAAUACAAUCAAUGCCUGAAGCCUGACGGCGCCAAAGCGACGAUCCACCCGGGGCAGGACCAACCUUCACACUUCUCCGCGCUUAGGGGAGAGAAGAGGACGGCUGGGCCUCAACCCACAGGCUGUGGAGCUUGCGUUGAGUUUUCCUGAGUGCCUGCACCUGAAGAGUUGCCUCCCCAGACCUGCAUCAGGAACCUGUUUCUUGGCAAGUUUCCAAAAGAAGUCUCUUCUCACAACCAUCAUCAUCACUAAAAGAACAGUGUUUAG